RNAcentral lists this microRNA (23 nucleotides) under Monodelphis domestica (gray short-tailed opossum). RNAcentral's name for it is "mdo-miR-7367-3p". The record is from miRBase by way of RNAcentral. Lineage: Eukaryota; Metazoa; Chordata; Mammalia; Didelphimorphia; Didelphidae.
CUUGCUCCCUUUUGCCCCCAGAA